AGAUGAGUCCGCGGCUGAUUAGCUAGUUGGUGGGGUAACGGCCUACCAAGGCUUCGAUCAGUAGCCGGCCUGAGAGGGUGAACGGCCACACUGGGACUGAGACACGGCCCAGACUCCUACGGGAGGCAGCAGUGGGGAAUCUUCCGCAAUGGGCGAAAGCCUGACGGAGCAACGCCGCGUGAGUGAAGAAGGCCUUCGGGUUGUAAAGCUCUGUCUUCAGGGACGAAAGAAAUGACGGUACCUGAGGAGGAAGCCACGGCUAACUACGUGCCAGCAGCCGCGGUAAUACGUAGGUGGCAAGCGUUGUCCGGAAUCAUUGGGCGUAAAGGGCGCGUAGGCGGAUAAUUAAGUCAGAUGUGAAAUAUGCGGGCUCAACCCGGAGAUGCAUCUGAAACUGGAUAUCUUGAGUGCAGGAGAGGACAGUGGAAUUCCUAGUGUAGCGGUGAAAUGCGUAGAUAUUAGGAGGAACACCAGUGGCGAAGGCGGCUGUCUGGACUGUAACUGACGCUGAGGCGCGAAAGCGUGAGGAGCAAACAGGAUUAGAUACCCUGGUAGUCCACGCCGUAAACGAUGGGUACUAGGUGUA
This 586-nucleotide ribosomal RNA is filed under the name uncultured bacterium. Its description in RNAcentral is "bacterial SSU rRNA". It matches the Rfam family "Bacterial small subunit ribosomal RNA", at positions 223 to 824 of the family's 1533-position model. The record is from RNAcentral.